Phyllopteryx taeniolatus (common seadragon) is the source of this 694-nucleotide long non-coding RNA. RefSeq lists it as uncharacterized. The transcript is spliced from 3 exons. Lineage: Eukaryota; Metazoa; Chordata; Actinopteri; Syngnathiformes; Syngnathidae. The record is from RefSeq and is a predicted model, not a curated record.
UCUCUCACAUUCACACCUCGGGGCAAUUUCGAGUCCUCAAUCAACCUACCACGCAUGUUUUUGGGAUGUGGGAAGAAACCGGAGAACACGCAAACUCCACACUGGCGGGGCCGGGAUUUAAACCUCGGUCCCCGGAACUGUGAGGACGAUGUGCUAACCAGUCACCCGCCAGUUUUAAUUUUCUUUUCAUUACGUUUUUCAUUGAGCUCAAGCUGGCUGCGCGAGAAAGGUUACUCCUCCAUAAUGAGAUCAUUUGGACAAAUAGAGUCAAGGUGUUCUAUUUCCUCAUCAAACAAACAGAAUAUUAAGUCAACAUGUGAAGAGGUAGUUAAGUCUUGCUGUCAGUGGUACAGCACAUCACUGCUCACUUCAAGAACAAAGAACUGAUUCAAUUUCAACCUGUGUAGAGAAAAGGUGAACCAAUCAUGCCCAGACUGCUAAAGGUCACCCUGACGUUGGUCAUGUGUGUGCUCAUCUUAGCCACACCACCGCCCAUUGCAGAGGCCCACAAACACAGGAGAAUACCAUUGUCUGGUUUCAUCAAUUCCCCUUUCAAGCCACUUACCGGAGAAAUGCAAGAAAUGCCACUGGAAGCAAAAUUGGACAAAUGGGGAUGAGUGAGGAAAUACAGAACAUGUAAUUGCAACAAUUCUGUUCUCCUGUACAUCCAAAAUAAAAUGAAUAUGAAGCAUCA